UUUAAAUACGUCAAAGACCAAUAUAUUAAUGGAGAUCAAGGAUAUGAAGGAACUGAAAUGGCCAGUCAGAAUGAGGUCACCACCCGAAUCCAGGGACAUGAACAAGUACGGAGAAUUGUAAGGCCCUGCAACGGGAGAUUGAAGCCCUUAUUAAAAGAGGACUCCUGAGCUCCUACGUCGGUAACGACAAACGCCCGAGGAAUGAUCGUGGCAGGGAAAAAGACCCUGAGGCAAAAAGGGAUGGUCAACCUACUGCUGGAACCAUCAAUAUCAUCAUUGGAGGUAUUGCCUCGGGAGGAGACUCCAACAGUGGAAGAAAACAAUAUGCCCGACGAUAUGCCUUGGCCUCUGGUAUGCCUCAGGGAAAGCUGGAGGAUAUUACUUUUGGGACCGGAGACUUAGAAGGCGUAUCACUUCCACAUGAUGACGCCUUGGUAAUCUCAGGGAUUGUGGCCAAUUUCGAAGUAAAGAGGAUCUUGGUUGACAACGGGAGUGCGGCCAAUAUACUUUCACAAGAAGCUUUUGCCAAAAUGGGAAUCUCAUCUCACCAGCUCAAAGCGGUUAAAACUCCUCUCCAGGGGUUCGGUGGAGGAGUCAUCACUCCAGAGGGUGUAGUUGAGCUUCCACUAACUUUGGGUUCUGGCCAGAAAUAGGUUACGGAGAUGACAUCUUUUCAAGUGGUACGUGUCUCAAUGGCCUAUAACGCAAUUCUGGGAAGACCACUCCUGAACAAGAUUAAAGCCAUUGUGUCCACCUUCCACCUAGCCAUGAAGUUUCCAACAAGUAAUGGCGUUGGGGUUGUCCGUGGAGACCAGACAGCUGCCAGACAGUGCUACGUUGCCAGUGUUCGGGAAAUAAAUAACGACGUCAUGCAAAUCUCGAGGAUGGAUCUCGAGGAUGGGCAACAAGUCAGACUUGCUCCUGUCGAAGAAUUGAUGGAAAUUGAGCUCGAGCAUGAUAAGAAGGUGACGAUUGGUCGGGAUCUUGACGUCACCCUGAAAACAGAACUUGUUAGUUGCUUAUCUCGCAACAUUGACGUUUUUGCCUGGAGGGUUGAGGAUAUGUCGGGGAUAGACCCUAAAAUUGCAGUCCAUAGGCUUAAUAUUAGCCCAGGGGCCAGGCCAGUAAAACAGAGGAAAAGACAGUUUGCCCCAGAACGCCGGGAGGUCAUCCGUGAAGAAAUUAACAAACUUGUCAGCGCCCGGUUCAUUCGGGAGGUUCAAUACCCCGACUGGCUUGCCAAUGUUGUUUUAGUAAAGAAGGCCAAUGGUAAGUGGAGGGUCUGCAUUGACUUCACAGAUCUUAAUAAAGCAUGUCCAAAGGAUAGUUAUCCCCUACCGCGGAUUGACAAUUUGGUGGAUAGCACGUCUGGACAUAAGCUAUACAGCUUUUUGGAUGCAUUUUCAGGUUAUCAUCAAAUCCUCAUGGCCGAGGAAGACCAAGAAAAGACCUCAUUCAUGGCCGAUUCCGCCAUAUAUUGUUAUAAGGUCAUGCCUUUCGGUUUGAAGAAUGCAGGGGCAACGUACCAAAGACUCAUCAACAAAGUCUUCGCUAACUUGAUUGGAAGGAAUGUGGAGGCGUACGUUGAUGACAUGGUGGUCAAGAGCAAGCAGGUGGACCAACAUAUUUCAGAUCUUGAAGAAGUGUUCAACACCUUGCGAAAGUACGGAAUGAAGUUGAACCCCGCGAAAUGUGCAUUCGGCGUAGCCUCGGGCAAGUUCUUGGGUUUUAUGAUCACUCAUCGGGGGAUAGAGGCCAACCCUGACAAAAUACAAGCCUUGGCAUCUAUGGAAUCACCAAGGAACAAGAAAGAGGUACAGAGGUUGACCGGUAGGAUAGCAGCCUUGAACAGGUUCAUGUCCCGAGCAUCGGACAGGUGCUAUCCCUUCUUCAAAGUCCUCAGAGGAAACCAAGGCUUUGAUUGGAGUGAAGACUGUGAGAAAGCUUUCCAGGAGCUCAAACAGACAUUGGCAUCUCCCCCAAUUCUCACUAGGCCUGAGCCUGGUGACACCUUAUUUCUGUACUUGGCCGUAUCUCAAAAUGCUGUCAGCGGGGUCUUGGUGAAAGAGGUUAACAAAGUCCAACAGCCUAUCUACUAUGUAAGCAAGGUCCUACUGGACGCAGAAACCAGGUAUACUUUGGCAGAACAACUUGCCCUUGCCUUGGUUAUAGCAGCAAGGAAACUCCGGCAAUAUUUUCAGUCUCACCCUAUUGUGGUGCUCACUAAUCAACCACUUAGGCAUAUACUUCAGAAGCCGGACGUAUCAGGAAGACUGAUGAAAUGGGCAAUCGAGCUUGGGGAAUUUGACAUAGAAUUCAAACCACGCCCAUCUAUCAAAGCCCAAGCUCUGGCCGACUUCAUUGCAGAACUAACCCCUAGGCCUCGGGGGCCAGGUGAGAGCUCGAGCAUGAGCACUAAUUUGGACACUUGGCAAAUAUUUGUGGAUGGAGCAUCGAACUCCUCGGGCUCGGGCGCAGGGGUCAUCAUCAUCAGCCCUGACAAACAAACAGAGAUCCAAUGCGUUCUCAGAUUCGAGUUUGAAGCAAC
Molecule: long non-coding RNA, 2548 nt
Filed under: Olea europaea subsp. europaea
Lineage: Eukaryota; Viridiplantae; Streptophyta; Magnoliopsida; Lamiales; Oleaceae
Source: RNAcentral